This 23-nucleotide microRNA is filed under the name Ornithorhynchus anatinus (platypus). RNAcentral's name for it is "Oan-Novel-5_5p (mature (guide))". The record is from RNAcentral. Lineage: Eukaryota; Metazoa; Chordata; Mammalia; Monotremata; Ornithorhynchidae.
CGGAGCCGGGAUUGGAACCUUGG